Malus domestica (apple) is the source of this 132-nucleotide non-coding RNA. The record is from RefSeq and is marked provisional. NCBI's taxonomy places the organism in Eukaryota, Viridiplantae, Streptophyta, Magnoliopsida, Rosales, Rosaceae.
GCCGCCGUAGAAAUAUUACUAUUACCAUCCUCCUCUUGGUGAUCGCCCUGUCCCAUAUGGCCUUCUGGAUUCAGGGCCUGCACAGGGUGAUUAACAAAGGGAUGACGGUAAUAUUUAAUUCAUGAUGUUGGC